Long non-coding RNA from Canis lupus familiaris (dog), 607 nucleotides. RefSeq lists it as uncharacterized. The transcript has 2 exons. The record is from RefSeq and is a predicted model, not a curated record. NCBI's taxonomy places the organism in Eukaryota, Metazoa, Chordata, Mammalia, Carnivora, Canidae.
CCUGAAGAAAUAUCCUGUACAUGAUGACACCAUUGUGUUCUGUCAUAAUAGUGCUAUUAAUACAUCUGAACAGAGUCUAAGCAAGACUUUGCAGCUGUCAGACAAAAGUGAGGUGGAGAUGUCCUCACGAUGGUCAAGCUACUGAGAUCAAGAAGAUGCUGGCAGAUGUAUCCAUAGCCAAGGACAGGAGAGUGAUCCGAGAAUGCAUACAGUAUGGCUGCCUCACACCCCAUGUCAGGGUCCUUCAGUGCAAGAGGUAGUUGAACAGCCAAACACAAGCAAUACACUGUGUCCAACCCUCCAGCUACAAGUCUAAUGAUCAACUGGGGUAACUGGGAGAGAGUUCAAGGAGGGUCCACUCACAGGAAUCCUAGCCUCAUGCUGAGCUCCUCCACAGCCAUAAGAAGCAGGAAACAAAACAUCUGCAGAGCCAAUGAAAAAUAUCACUCAAGGGAAGAAAAGUAAUGUAAUAAAUGAAAGGAAAGUCAAGAAGACAUUUUGGAACACUUACUCCAAAAAAUAGAAUGCAUGUUUAUAAAAUGUGCCUCUGGACCUUAAGGAAAUUUGAAAAGACAGGCUCUAUGUAUAAUAAAAUCUGUAAAUAUUA